AAGUGAAGUAGAGGACAGUGGCGGACGGGUGAGUAACGCGUGAGGAACCUGCCUUUCAGAGGGGGACAACAGUUGGAAACGACUGCUAAUACCGCAUGACACAUAGAGAUCGCAUGGUUUUUAUGUCAAAGAUUUAUCGCUGAAAGAUGGCCUCGCGUCUGAUUAGCUAGUUGGUGAGGUAACGGCCCACCAAGGCGACGAUCAGUAGCCGGACUGAGAGGUUGACCGGCCACAUUGGGACUGAGAUACGGCCCAGACUCCUACGGGAGGCAGCAGUGGGGAAUAUUGGGCAAUGGGCGCAAGCCUGACCCAGCAACGCCGCGUGAAGGAAGAAGGCUUUCGGGUUGUAAACUUCUUUUGUCGGGGACGAGUAGAAGACGGUACCUGGCGAAUAAGCCACGGCUAACUACGUGCCAGCAGCCGCGGUAAUACGUAGGUGGCAAGCGUUGUCCGGAUUUACUGGGUGUAAAGGGCGUGUAGCCGGGAAGGCAAGUCAGAUGUGAAAUCCACGGGCUUAACUCGUGAACUGCAUUUGAAACUGUUUUUCUUGAGUAUCGGAGAGGCAAUCGGAAUUCCUAGUGUAGCGGUGAAAUGCGUAGAUAUUAGGAGGAACACCAGUGGCGAAGGCGGAUUGCUGG
This 638-nucleotide ribosomal RNA is filed under the name uncultured bacterium. RNAcentral's name for it is "bacterial SSU rRNA". It matches the Rfam family "Bacterial small subunit ribosomal RNA", at positions 78 to 732 of the family's 1533-position model. The record is from RNAcentral.